GACGAACGCUGGCGGCGCGCUUAACACAUGCAAGUCGAACGGUAAGGCCUGCUUUCCCUUUUGGGUUUCGGGUACUCGAGUGUCGAACAUGUGAGUAACACGUGAGUUAUCUGCCCCCAACUUGGGUAUAAUCCUGGGAAACUAGGUCUAAUUCCCGAUAGGACUGCAGGGUGGUGCCUGUGGUUUAAAACGGUUUUCUAGUGGCUGGGGAUGAGCUCGCGGCCUAUCAGCUUGUUGGUGGGGUAAUGGACGACCAAGCCGGGGACGGGUAGCCGGCGUGGGAGGAUGGACGCUCAGAUUGGGACACGGCCAAGGCCCAGACGGGUACGGGAGGCAGGAGUGUGGAGUAUUGGAGAAUGGGCCGAAUCCUGAAGUAGCGAGGCCGCGUGGGAGACGACGGGGUUCGGGUUGUCAACUCGUAGCGACGGAGAGGAGGCCACUUGGUUGGGAGGGUGGUGACGGUAGUUGUAGAAGAAGCACCGGCUAACUACGUG
RNAcentral lists this ribosomal RNA (494 nucleotides) under uncultured bacterium. Its description in RNAcentral is "partial 16S ribosomal RNA". It matches the Rfam family "Bacterial small subunit ribosomal RNA", at positions 28 to 507 of the family's 1533-position model. The record is from RNAcentral.